GCUUAGCCUAAGCCCAACUAGACCCCCAAACGUANUAUACCAACAAAACAAACCAUUUGACCAAAAAAGUAUUUGAGAAAGAACAUUUAAACCGGCGCAACAUUACCGCAAGGGACAACUGAAAGAAAAAUGAAACACUUAAGCACAGCAAAGCAAAGAUUAACCCUUGUACNUCUUGCAUCAUGAUUUAGCUAGCAACCCCAGACAAAGAGCCCUUAAGCCUGAUCCCCCGAAACUACGUGAGUAUUCCGGGCAAUAAAUGAU
Molecule: ribosomal RNA, 264 nt
Filed under: Pseudocordylus melanotus
Lineage: Eukaryota; Metazoa; Chordata; Lepidosauria; Squamata; Cordylidae
Description: partial 16S large subunit ribosomal RNA
Source: RNAcentral